AUGGGGAGCAAGUCAUUAAGCAGCGUUCUUCUGUGGUCUCUACUUAGACUUCACUUCCAGGAUCCUGCCUUGAGCUCCUGCCCUGACUGCCCUUGAUGAUGGACUGUAACCUGUAACCCAAACAAAGCCAAGCUGCUUUUGGUCAGUGUUUUAUCACAGCAACAGAAAGCCAACUAGAACACUUUUUGCUAGAGUACUCUGGACUGGACUUACAGAGACUUGUAAAGUCGAAGAUGGGCCUAAACAUCCUAGAGAGGCUGGAGAUCAUGUGGCAAUAAAAGUGCUUGGAGAUCCAGCGGUGGAAAGUUCUGGGAAGAGAACAGCACUUUGCAUAUGGGAGGCCAAUUUCCCAUCACUCAUCACUGAGGCUUGCAGAACAUAUUGAAGGCAUCAGGAAAUCUUACCCAUCAACAUUUGUACAACUUUGCUUCUAUUUUUAUUAGUGAAAAUGAGAGAAUUUUCUUUUAUCUAUUUGUGGUAUAUAAGCAUACUCACAGGAAGUCUUAUGGUGUGCAGGUCAGAGAACUACUGUGAGAAUCAGUUCUUUCUUUCCCUUCUGUGGGUUCUGGGGAUAAAGCUCAGGUUGUCAGGCUUGGGAGUAGGUGCUCUUAAUCACUGAGCCAUCUCACUGGCACUCAAAAAUUUCUUUCUGUUAAAUCAUAUUUUAUAACUAUAUCCUUCAAACUUCUUUAAUGAAAUAUUUGAUAUUAUAGUUGUGCUGGCAAUGUAAAAAAAACUUGUGGUACUUUUGCUUUUUCUAUGUCCUGGACUACUUUAGCAAAAGAACAAUGUUUUUAAAGAUUAUCCAAAAAUUUUCAGCAGGUCACCAAAAGUCUUAUAGCAAAAUCUAACAAAGAUGGUAUAAAAGGAAAACUAUAGGCUACAUCUUCCUUGAACACAGAUGAAAGUCUUAUGCAAAUUGAAUCCAACAAUGUGUAAAAUGCACAAAUACAUCUUUGGUGGCUAAUUUUAAACUUGACCACCUAGAAACACUGGAAAGAAAGUCUUAACUGAAGAAUCGUCUCAAUAAGGUUGAACUGUGGGCAUGUCUGUAAGGGAUUGUCUUAAUUCUUAACAGGGGUGGGAAAACCAAGCCCACUGUGGUGAUUCCAUUCUCUAUGUCAGGGGUGUUGAACAGUAUAAGAGGAAAAAGCCAACUGAGACAAACAAGCAAGGAUGUGCUCAUCCUCUCUUUGCUCUUGACCUUGAAUAUGAUGUGAUGAGCUGCUGCCAUGACUUCCCUGCUGUGAUGGACUGCCACCUGGAAUAAUGAGUCAGUCAAUUGCUUCCCCUGCAGGCUGCUCUUUGGUUAGGGUGUUAAGACACAGCAACAGAAAUGAAGUAAAAUUAGAUCUUUUUCAUUAGUGACAGGUUGGUUUCCUGUUAUGGUAAAUUAACCUAAUUUACCACAAUAAAAGAAUUAAGACAAAAA
Long non-coding RNA from Mesocricetus auratus (golden hamster), 1432 nucleotides. RefSeq lists it as uncharacterized. NCBI's taxonomy places the organism in Eukaryota, Metazoa, Chordata, Mammalia, Rodentia, Cricetidae. The transcript has 3 exons. The record is from RefSeq and is a predicted model, not a curated record.